AUUUAAUAAUAGGAAAAUUCUCUUUCUUCUUUUCUGAAGAUAUAAAGUAAAUAGAAAAAAUAUUCGAAGUGUCUUUCUUGCUUUGACCUGCGAAAUAUUCUGGUUUUUUUAUCUGAAGGAAAAAGAAAUAUAACAAAAAAUGGCAAAAGGGAAAUAAAAGAAAGAUGGCGAGAAAAAAUAAAGUAUAAAAUAAUAAAGUAUAGGAUACUAUAGCAAUUUAAUGCACAUAGAAAUUAGAAGAAUACGUAAAAAUAUUGAUUUUUAGAAAUCUCAUGAACAAGAUCCAAGAAUAAGAUUAGUUUGAUAGAAUGAGAGAAGUAAGUCUGAGGAUCAACUAGUAAGGAGAGGGGGAUCACUUAUUCCUUGAACAGUUCUUUCAAAAAAUUAAUCUAUCUGAUUGAUGAGUCAUAAAAAAAUUCAUGAUUCGUGCGGUUAUUAAGACUAUAAGAAGGAAUAACCGCGAAUUGAAUUCAUGAAUUUACCUAAAUCGGGUUAUAGACCGAUAAAGAAUUUUUUUCUUCGAAACCCAUUAGAAAAGAAAUUAGAAGGGGCAGUGUACGAAAAAUCAAAUCAUACAUAAAUGAUAGAAGUUUCAAAGGCCCUGAAAAUGCUAUGAGGUGUUCGGAAAUGGUUGAAGUAGUUGAAUAGGAGGAUCACUAUGACUAUAGCCCUUGGUAAAUUUACCAAAGACGAAAAUGAUUUAUUUGAUAUUAUGGAUGACUGGUUACGGAGGGACCGUUUCGUUUUUGUAGGUUGGUCCGGUCUAUUGCUCUUUCCUUGUGCCUAUUUCGCCGUAGGGGGUUGGUUCACAGGUACAACCUUUGUAACCUCAUGGUAUACCCAUGGAUUGGCGAGUUCCUAUUUGGAAGGCUGCAACUUCUUAACCGCCGCAGUUUCUACUCCUGCUAAUAGUUUAGCACAUUCUUUGUUAUUAUUAUGGGGCCG
RNAcentral lists this unclassified non-coding RNA (945 nucleotides) under Hevea brasiliensis (rubber tree). The record is from RNAcentral. Lineage: Eukaryota; Viridiplantae; Streptophyta; Magnoliopsida; Malpighiales; Euphorbiaceae.